Long non-coding RNA from Etheostoma cragini (Arkansas darter), 560 nucleotides. RefSeq lists it as uncharacterized. NCBI's taxonomy places the organism in Eukaryota, Metazoa, Chordata, Actinopteri, Perciformes, Percidae. The record is from RefSeq and is a predicted model, not a curated record. The transcript is spliced from 3 exons.
GUGUGUGUGUGUGUGUGUGUGUGUGUGUGUGUGUGUGUGUGUGUGUGUGUGUGUGUGUGUGUGUGUGUGUUUUUUUUAAAAGAGAUAGUGAUCUUAGACUGUAUGCAAGUCUGAAAAUGCAAGUGUGUGUUUGUGUGUGAAGGGAAACUAUGAGCAGCAGGUAAUCCGUCCACAUGUAAUCCACUGGCAGAGGAAAAAACUUGCUGGGCCUCAUUAAUUUAUAAAGAUAUAGAGAGGUCAGCUUACACACACACUCAGUUCCUCAACAAGCCGGCUAUUUUUCCCUGCACACAAACACAGCUGCCUAAUACCACUUUUUGAUGUCGCUUAGGGUCUUGGUUACAGUCAAUGAACUUCCUUUUCUUUCUUUAAUGAAACGCGAGAAGCAGCGAUUAAUGAAAACCCGAUGAAGGAGUGAUUUGACAGAGGGGUUUGCAGGAUAUUUUCCUCGCAACAAGCGCUUUAUUGAAAGAAAUGGAGAUGCCUCUCAUCAUUUCCAAAUCCAAAAGACAGACGCGCUGAUUCCUCUCUUCCUCCGUCUCGUGGUCUAAGUGGGUCAG